CCUACGGGUGGCAGCAGUCGAGAAUCAUUCACAAUAGGGGAAACCCUGAUGGUGCGACGCCGCGUGGGGGUAUGAAGGUCUUCGGAUUGUAAACCCCUGUCAUGUGGGAGCAAAUUAAAAAGAUAGUACCACAAGAGGAAGAGACGGCUAACUCUGUGCCAGCAGCCGCGGUAAUACAGAGGUCUCAAGCGUUGUUCGGAAUCACUGGGCGUAAAGCGUGCGUAGGCUGUUUCGUAAGUCGUGUGUGAAAGGCGCGGGCUCAACCCGCGGACGGCACAUGAUACUGGGAGACUAGAGUAAGGGAGGGGGAACCGGAAUUCUCGGUGUAGCAGUGAAAUGCGUAGAUAUCGAGAGGAACACUCGUGGCGAAGGCGGGUUCCUGGACAUUAACUGACGCUGAGGCACGAAGGCCAGGGGAGCGAAAGGGAUUAGAUACCCUGGUAGUC
RNAcentral lists this ribosomal RNA (446 nucleotides) under uncultured bacterium. RNAcentral's name for it is "partial 16S ribosomal RNA". It matches the Rfam family "Bacterial small subunit ribosomal RNA", at positions 338 to 795 of the family's 1533-position model. The record is from RNAcentral.